CCCUAGUUGUCAUGGGAACCUCGCCCCCCUUAGAGUCCUGACCGCUUGACUCCGCGAAGCGCGAACGUGUUGUUUCUUCCUGAGAUUUGGGAGGCUGGAGGACAUCUGGGGGCCACAGUGCUCCUUUUCCUAGAGACUCAACUCAAGGUCAGGGCAACAGGAUGGUGGUGCCUGGAGAAGGCCCUGGCUUCCCUGAAAGCCCUCCCGGCCUGUCUCUGACCUGCACUGGAAGCGGGGGUCUCCAGGGUGGGUCUUCAGCACC
Long non-coding RNA from Cebus imitator (Panamanian white-faced capuchin), 262 nucleotides. RefSeq lists it as uncharacterized. The transcript is spliced from 3 exons. The record is from RefSeq and is a predicted model, not a curated record. Lineage: Eukaryota; Metazoa; Chordata; Mammalia; Primates; Cebidae.